CCUACGGGUGGCAGCAGUAGGGAAUAUUGCUCAAUGGGCGAAACCCUGAAGCAGCAACGCCGCGUGAAGGAUGAAGGUUUUCGGAUUUUAAACUCUUUUUGUUAGAGAAGAUAAUGACGGUAUCUAACGAAUAAGCACCGGCUAACUCCGUGCCAGCAGCCGCGGUAAUACGGAGGGUGCAAGCGUUAUGCGGAAUCACUGGGCGUAAAGAGCGCGUAGGCGGGAUAGCAAGUCAGGUGUUAAAUCCUCUGGCUUAACCUGAGAACUGCAUUUGAAACUGGUAUUCUAGAGUAAGGGAGAGGUAGGUGGAAUUCUUGGUGUAGGGGUAAAAUCCGUAGAGAUCAAGAGGAAUACUGAUGGCGAAGGCGACCUACUAGAACAUAACUGACGCUGAUGCGCGAAAGCGUGGGGAGCAAACAGGAUUAGAUACCCGAGUAGUC
This 440-nucleotide ribosomal RNA is filed under the name uncultured bacterium. Its description in RNAcentral is "partial 16S ribosomal RNA". It matches the Rfam family "Bacterial small subunit ribosomal RNA", at positions 338 to 795 of the family's 1533-position model. The record is from RNAcentral.